Long non-coding RNA from Bubalus bubalis (water buffalo), 191 nucleotides. RefSeq lists it as uncharacterized. The record is from RefSeq and is a predicted model, not a curated record. The transcript has 2 exons. NCBI's taxonomy places the organism in Eukaryota, Metazoa, Chordata, Mammalia, Artiodactyla, Bovidae.
UAGAUGACACUGCCCUAAUGGCAGAAAGCAAAGAGGAACUAAAGAGACUCCUGAUGAAGACAAUCAGCCAUUGACCCGAAGCUCACAGCUAAUGGACUCGCCAAUGGAGCUGAUAAUGAAAACAUCGAUUACUGCAACCUUCAUGCUUUCUGAAUCCCGUUUCUAGAAUAAAGAGGCAAAUCUCAAUCAAA